Molecule: transfer RNA, 71 nt
Filed under: Drymodes brunneopygia
Lineage: Eukaryota; Metazoa; Chordata; Aves; Passeriformes; Petroicidae
Description: tRNA-Leu
Rfam family: tRNA
About the family: Transfer RNA (tRNA) molecules are approximately 80 nucleotides in length. Their secondary structure includes four short double-helical elements and three loops (D, anti-codon, and T loops).
Source: RNAcentral
ACUUUCAAAGGAUAAUAGUAAUCCAAUGGUCUUAGGAGCCACACAUCCCGGUGCAACUCCAGGUGAAAGUA